AUCAUGGCUCAGGAUGAACGCUAGCUACAGGCUUAACACAUGCAAGUCGAGGGGGAAACCGAUAUUGGAAGCUUGCUUCCGAUAGGCGUCGACCGGCGCACGGGUGAGUAACGCGUAUCCAACCUGCCCAUCACUUGGGGAUAACCUUGCGAAAGUAAGACUAAUACCCAAUGACGUCUCUAGAAGGCAUCUGAAGGAGAUUAAAGAUUUAUCGGUGAUGGAUGGGGAUGCGUCUGAUUAGCUUGUUGGCGGGGUAACGGCCCACCAAGGCGACGAUCAGUAGGGGUUCUGAGAGGAAGGUCCCCCACAUUGGAACUGAGACACGGUCCAAACUCCUACGGGAGGCAGCAGUGAGGAAUAUUGGUCAAUGGGCGAGAGCCUGAACCAGCCAAGUAGCGUGCAGGAUGACGGCCCUAUGGGUUGUAAACUGCUUUUAUAAGGGAAUAAGGUGGGAGUCGUGACUCUUUUUGCAUGUACCUUAUGAAUAAGGACCGGCUAAUUCCGUG
Molecule: ribosomal RNA, 506 nt
Filed under: uncultured bacterium
Lineage: Bacteria
Description: bacterial SSU rRNA
Rfam family: Bacterial small subunit ribosomal RNA
Source: RNAcentral